GAGGGUUGUAGCUUGGAGACGUAGGACCGUAGCUUGGUGAUGUUGGACUGUAACUUGGUGAAGUAGGGCUGUAGCCAGGAGAUGUGGGGCUAUAUGCGGGUGAAGUAGGGCUGUAAGACGGAGAUGUUGGGCUGUAAGAUGGUGAAGUAGGGCUGUAAGAAGGCGAUGUUGGGCUGUAAGAAGGUGAAGUUGGGCUGUAAGAAGGAGAGGUUGGGCUGUAUGCUGGUGAAGUUGGGCUGUAAGCAGGUGAAGUCGGGCUGUAAGCAGGCGAAGUCGGGCUGUAACUUGGGGAAGUAGGACUGUAGCUCGGAGAUGUCGGGCUGUAGCUUGGCGACGUUGGGCUAUAGCUUGGAGACGUUGGGCUGUAGCUCGGAGAGGUAGGAGAAUAGGAAGGACUUGUAGGAGAAUAAGCAGGGCUUGUUGGGCUAUAGCCAGGAGAAC
Molecule: long non-coding RNA, 441 nt
Filed under: Arabidopsis thaliana (thale cress)
Lineage: Eukaryota; Viridiplantae; Streptophyta; Magnoliopsida; Brassicales; Brassicaceae
Description: long non-coding RNA (ATHA_LNC000324)
Source: RNAcentral